GGGUUGUGAGGUUAAGCGACUAAGCGUACACGGUGGAUGCCCUGGCAGUCAGAGGCGAUGAAGGACGUGCUAAUCUGCGAUAAGCGUCGGUAAGGUGAUAUGAACCGUUAUAACCGGCGAUUUCCGAAUGGGGAAACCCAGUGUGAUUCGUCACACUAUCAUUAACUGAAUCCAUAGGUUAAUGAGGCGAACCGGGGGAACUGAAACAUCUAAGUACCCCGAGGAAAAGAAAUCAACCGAGAUUCCCCCAGUAGCGGCGAGCGAACGGGGAGGAGCCCAGAGCCUGAAUCAGUGUGUGUGUUAGUGGAAGCGUCUGGAAAGGCGCGCGAUACAGGGUGACAGCCCCGUACACAAAAAUGCACAUGCUGUGAGCUCGAUGAGUAGGGCGGGACACGUGGUAUCCUGUCUGAAUAUGGGGGGACCAUCCUCCAAGGCUAAAUACUCCUGACUGACCGAUAGUGAACCAGUACCGUGAGGGAAAGGCGAAAAGAACCCCGGCGAGGGGAGUGAAAAAGAACCUGAAACCGUGUACGUACAAGCAGUGGGAGCACAGAGCAAUCUGUGUGACUGCGUACCUUUUGUAUAAUGGGUCAGCGACUUAUAUUCUGUAGCAAGGUUAACCGAAUAGGGGAGCCGAAGGGAAACCGAGUCUUAACUGGGCGUUAAGUUGCAGGGUAUAGACCCGAAACCCGGUGAUCUAGCCAUGGGCAGGUUGAAGGUUGGGUAACACUAACUGGAGGACCGAACCGACUAAUGUUGAAAAAUUAGCGGAUGACUUGUGGCUGGGGGUGAAAGGCCAAUCAAACCGGGAGAUAGCUGGUUCUCCCCGAAAGCUAUUUAGGUAGCGCCUCGUGAAUUCAUCUCCGGGGGUAGAGCACUGUUUCGGCAAGGGGGUCAUCCCGACUUACCAACCCGAUGCAAACUGCGAAUACCGGAGAAUGUUAUCACGGGAGACACACGGCGGGUGCUAACGUCCGUCGUGAAGAGGGAAACAACCCAGACCGCCAGCUAAGGUCCCAAAGUCAUGGUUAAGUGGGAAACGAUGUGGGAAGGCCCAGACAGCCAGGAUGUUGGCUUAGAAGCAGCCAUCAUUAAAGAAAGCGUAAUAGCUCACUGGUCGAGUCGGCCUGCGCGGAAGAUGUAACGGGGCUAAACCAUGCACCGAAGCUGCGGCAGCGACGCUGAUGCGUUGUUGGGUAGGGGAGCGUUCUGUAAGCCUGUGAAGGUGUGCUGUGAGGCAUGCUGGAGGUAUCAGAAGUGCGAAUGCUGACAUAAGUAACGAUAAAGCGGGUGAAAAGCCCGCUCGCCGGAAGACCAAGGGUUCCUGUCCAACGUUAAUCGGGGCAGGGUGAGUCGACCCCUAAGGCGAGGCCGAAAGGCGUAGUCGAUGGGAAACAGGUUAAUAUUCCUGUACUUGGUGUUACUGCGAAGGGGGGACGGAGAAGGCUAUGUUGGCCGGGCGACGGUUGUCCCGGUUUAAGCGUGUAGGCUGGUUUUCCAGGCAAAUCCGGAAAACUAAGGCUGAGGCGUGAUGACGAGGCACUACGGUGCUGAAGCAACAAAUGCCCUGCUUCCAGGAAAAGCCUCUAAGCAUCAGGUAACAUCAAAUCGUACCCCAAACCGACACAGGUGGUCAGGUAGAGAAUACCAAGGCGCUUGAGAGAACUCGGGUGAAGGAACUAGGCAAAAUGGUGCCGUAACUUCGGGAGAAGGCACGCUGAUAUGUAGGUGAAGUCCCUCGCGGAUGGAGCUGAAAUCAGUCGAAGAUACCAGCUGGCUGCAACUGUUUAUUAAAAACACAGCACUGUGCAAACACGAAAGUGGACGUAUACGGUGUGACGCCUGCCCGGUGCCGGAAGGUUAAUUGAUGGGGUCAGCGCAAGCGAAGCUCUUGAUCGAAGCCCCGGUAAACGGCGGCCGUAACUAUAACGGUCCUAAGGUAGCGAAAUUCCUUGUCGGGUAAGUUCCGACCUGCACGAAUGGCGUAAUGAUGGCCAGGCUGUCUCCACCCGAGACUCAGUGAAAUUGAACUCGCUGUGAAGAUGCAGUGUACCCGCGGCAAGACGGAAAGACCCCGUGAACCUUUACUAUAGCUUGACACUGAACAUUGAGCCUUGAUGUGUAGGAUAGGUGGGAGGCUUUGAAGUGUGGACGCCAGUCUGCAUGGAGCCGACCUUGAAAUACCACCCUUUAAUGUUUGAUGUUCUAACGUUGACCCGUAAUCCGGGUUGCGGACAGUGUCUGGUGGGUAGUUUGACUGGGGCGGUCUCCUCCUAAAGAGUAACGGAGGAGCACGAAGGUUGGCUAAUCCUGGUCGGACAUCAGGAGGUUAGUGCAAUGGCAUAAGCCAGCUUGACUGCGAGCGUGACGGCGCGAGCAGGUGCGAAAGCAGGUCAUAGUGAUCCGGUGGUUCUGAAUGGAAGGGCCAUCGCUCAACGGAUAAAAGGUACUCCGGGGAUAACAGGCUGAUACCGCCCAAGAGUUCAUAUCGACGGCGGUGUUUGGCACCUCGAUGUCGGCUCAUCACAUCCUGGGGCUGAAGUAGGUCCCAAGGGUAUGGCUGUUCGCCAUUUAAAGUGGUACGCGAGCUGGGUUUAGAACGUCGUGAGACAGUUCGGUCCCUAUCUGCCGUGGGCGCUGGAGAACUGAGGGGGGCUGCUCCUAGUACGAGAGGACCGGAGUGGACGCAUCACUGGUGUUCGGGUUGUCAUGCCAAUGGCACUGCCCGGUAGCUAAAUGCGGAAGAGAUAAGUGCUGAAAGCAUCUAAGCACGAAACUUGCCCCGAGAUGAGUUCUCCCUGACUCCUUGAGAGUCCUGAAGGAACGUUGAAGACGACGACGUUGAUAGGCCGGGUGUGUAAGCGCAGCGAUGCGUUGAGCUAACCGGUACUAAUGAACCGUGAGGCUUAACCUUACAACGCCGAAGCUGUU
Molecule: ribosomal RNA, 2931 nt
Filed under: Escherichia coli
Lineage: Bacteria; Pseudomonadati; Pseudomonadota; Gammaproteobacteria; Enterobacterales; Enterobacteriaceae
Description: 23S ribosomal RNA
Rfam family: Bacterial large subunit ribosomal RNA
Source: RNAcentral